This is a long non-coding RNA of Cotesia glomerata, 504 nucleotides long. RefSeq lists it as uncharacterized. The record is from RefSeq and is a predicted model, not a curated record. NCBI's taxonomy places the organism in Eukaryota, Metazoa, Arthropoda, Insecta, Hymenoptera, Braconidae. The transcript is spliced from 3 exons.
UUAAUAGUCAAAGUAUCAGAUAUUAAAGCCUUCAAACCUGAAAAUGUUGAGGACUUCGACAAUACUAAAAAAUACCAGGUUUUAUGGUAUGACAAAGCUACGAAAAAAUCAAAUUACUAUAGUGCCAGUAUUAUACUACUUGGAAGUAGUAAAAAAAAUCUUGAAGAAAAAAUUAAACAAGCAGAAGAUGAUGACAAUUCGACAAAACUCCGCCAGACGCGUAUCUCAUCCAGUGAGAGUGAUAGGUCAUCAGAUGAUGAAAAACCGUUAAAAAAAAGAAAGAAAGAUGACUCUCUGAAAAGUAACAAGUCAACUCUGAAAUUAUCUAAAGUUGAUACUAGCACUCCAAACAUUUCAUUAGAGUUUUCUAGUAAAAAAACUGUAGUCGAUGAGAUCUAUGAACAAAUUUAUGAACUCAAAAACCGAGUUGUAUCAUUAGAGAAUGAAAAUACAAUUAUUUUGUCAGAUGUAAGCAUUUUAAAGGUAGAGUUAAAUAAGGUUAAG